AGUGGGUGAUUGGUUCGUCUGU
This 22-nucleotide non-coding RNA is filed under the name Arabidopsis thaliana (thale cress). The record is from RNAcentral. Lineage: Eukaryota; Viridiplantae; Streptophyta; Magnoliopsida; Brassicales; Brassicaceae.